CGUGCUUGCACUGAAUGAGAUUUUAACACGAAGUGAGUGGCGGACGGGUGAGUAACACGUGGGUAACCUGCCCAGAAGCAGGGGAUAACACCUGGAAACAGAUGCUAAUACCGUAUAACAGAGAAAACCGCCUGGUUUUCUUUUAAAAGAUGGCUCUGCUAUCACUUCUGGAUGGACCCGCGGCGCAUUAGCUAGUUGGUGAGGUAACGGCUCACCAAGGCGAUGAUGCGUAGCCGACCUGAGAGGGUAAUCGGCCACAUUGGGACUGAGACACGGCCCAGACUCCUACGGGAGGCAGCAGUAGGGAAUCUUCCACAAUGGACGCAAGUCUGAUGGAGCAACGCCGCGUGAGUGAAGAAGGGUUUCGGCUCGUAAAGCUCUGUUGUUAAAGAAGAACGUGGGUGAGAGUAACUGUUCACCCAGUGACGGUAUUUAACCAGAAAGCCACGGCUAACUACGUGCCAGCAGCCGCGGUAAUACGUAGGUGGCAAGCGUUAUCCGGAUUUAUUGGGCGUAAAGCGAGCGCAGGCGGUCUUUUAAGUCUAAUGUGAAAGCCUUCGGCUCAACCGAAGAAGUGCAUUGGAAACUGGGAGACUUGAGUGCAGAAGAGGACAGUGGAACUCCAUGUGUAGCGGUGAAAUGCGUAGAUAUAUGGAAGAACACCAGUGGCGAAGGCGGCUGUCUGGUCUGUAACUGACGCUGAGGCUCGAAAGCAUGGGUAGCGAACAGGAUUAGAUACCCUGGUAGUCCAUGCCGUAAACGAUGAUUACUAAGUGUUGGAGGGUUUCCGCCCUUCAGUGCUGCAGCUAACGCAUUAAGUAAUCCGCCUGGGGAGUACGACCGCAAGGUUGAAACUCAAAAGAAUUGACGGGGGCCCGCACAAGCGGUGGAGCAUGUGGUUUAAUUCGAAGCUACGCGAAGAACCUUACCAGGUCUUGACAUCUUCUGCCAACCUAAGAGAUUAGGCGUUCCCUUCGGGGACAGAAUGACAGGUGGUGCAUGGUUGUCGUCAGCUCGUGUCGUGAGAUGUUGGGUUAAGUCCCGCAACGAGCGCAACCCUUAUUACUAGUUGCCAGCAUUCAGUUGGGCACUCUAGUGAGACUGCCGGUGACAAACCGGAGGAAGGUGGGGACGACGUCAAAUCAUCAUGCCCCUUAUGACCUGGGCUACACACGUGCUACAAUGGAUGGUACAACGAGUCGCGAAACCGCGAGGUUUAGCUAAUCUCUUAAAACCAUUCUCAGUUCGGACUGUAGGCUGCAACUCGCCUACACGAAGUCGGAAUCGCUAGUAAUCGCGGAUCAGCAUGCCGCGGUGAAUACGUUCCCGGGCCUUGUACACACCGCCCGUCACACCAUGAGAGUUUGUAACACCCAAAGCCGGUGGGGUAACCUUUUAGGAGCUAGCCGUCUAAGGU
RNAcentral lists this ribosomal RNA (1417 nucleotides) under Pediococcus acidilactici. Its description in RNAcentral is "bacterial SSU rRNA". It matches the Rfam family "Bacterial small subunit ribosomal RNA". The record is from RNAcentral. Lineage: Bacteria; Bacillati; Bacillota; Bacilli; Lactobacillales; Lactobacillaceae.